Molecule: ribosomal RNA, 898 nt
Filed under: Enterococcus casseliflavus
Lineage: Bacteria; Bacillati; Bacillota; Bacilli; Lactobacillales; Enterococcaceae
Description: bacterial SSU rRNA
Rfam family: Bacterial small subunit ribosomal RNA
Source: RNAcentral
GAACGCUGGCGGCGUGCCUAAUACAUGCAAGUCGAACGCUUUUUCUUUCACCGGAGCUUGCUCCACCGAAAGAAAAAGAGUGGCGAACGGGUGAGUAACACGUGGGUAACCUGCCCAUCAGAAGGGGAUAACACUUGGAAACAGGUGCUAAUACCGUAUAACACUAUUUUCCGCAUGGAAGAAAGUUGAAAGGCGCUUUUGCGUCACUGAUGGAUGGACCCGCGGUGCAUUAGCUAGUUGGUGAGGUAACGGCUCACCAAGGCAACGAUGCAUAGCCGACCUGAGAGGGUGAUCGGCCACACUGGGACUGAGACACGGCCCAGACUCCUACGGGAGGCAGCAGUAGGGAAUCUUCGGCAAUGGACGAAAGUCUGACCGAGCAACGCCGCGUGAGUGAAGAAGGUUUUCGGAUCGUAAAACUCUGUUGUUAGAGAAGAACAAGGAUGAGAGUAAAAUGUUCAUCCCUUGACGGUAUCUAACCAGAAAGCCACGGCUAACUACGUGCCAGCAGCCGCGGUAAUACGUAGGUGGCAAGCGUUGUCCGGAUUUAUUGGGCGUAAAGCGAGCGCAGGCGGUUUCUUAAGUCUGAUGUGAAAGCCCCCGGCUCAACCGGGGAGGGUCAUUGGAAACUGGGAGACUUGAGUGCAGAAGAGGAGAGUGGAAUUCCAUGUGUAGCGGUGAAAUGCGUAGAUAUAUGGAGGAACACCAGUGGCGAAGGCGGCUCUCUGGUCUGUAACUGACGCUGAGGCUCGAAAGCGUGGGGAGCGAACAGGAUUAGAUACCCUGGUAGUCCACGCCGUAAACGAUGAGUGCUAAGUGUUGGAGGGUUUCCGCCCUUCAGUGCUGCAGCAAACGCAUUAAGCACUCCGCCUGGGGAGUACGACCGCAAGGUUGAAAC